RNAcentral lists this ribosomal RNA (245 nucleotides) under uncultured Oligosphaera sp. RNAcentral describes it as "partial 16S ribosomal RNA". It matches the Rfam family "Bacterial small subunit ribosomal RNA", at positions 796 to 1041 of the family's 1533-position model. Lineage: Bacteria; Pseudomonadati; Lentisphaerota; Oligosphaeria; Oligosphaerales; Oligosphaeraceae. The record is from RNAcentral.
CACGCUGUAAACGUUGAGAACUAGAUAUGGUGGGGCUGGCCCCCUCCGUGUCCAAGCAAACGCGAUAAGUUCUCCGCCUGGGGACUACGGCCGCAAGGCUAAAACUCAAAGGAAUUGACGGGGGCCCGCACAAGCGGUGGAGCAUGUUGCUUAAUUCGAGGCAACGCGAAGAACCUUACCCAGGUUUGACAUGCAUAUGACCGGUGGUGAAAGCCACUUUCCCUUCGGGGCAUAUGGACAGAUGC